UACGUAGGGAGCAAGCGUUGUCCGGAUUUAUUGGGCGUAAAGAGCGUGUAGGCGGCCAUACAGGUCAGCUGUGAAAACUCGAGGCUCAACCUCGAGACGUCGGUUGAAACCGUAUGGCUAGAGUCCGGAAGAGGAGAGUGGAAUUCCCGGUGUAGCGGUGAAAUGCGCAGAUAUCAGGAGGAACACCAAUGGCGAAGGCAGCACUCUGGGACGGUACUGACGCUGAGACGCGAAAGCGUGGGGAGCAAACAGG
RNAcentral lists this ribosomal RNA (253 nucleotides) under uncultured bacterium. RNAcentral's name for it is "partial 16S ribosomal RNA". It matches the Rfam family "Bacterial small subunit ribosomal RNA", at positions 524 to 776 of the family's 1533-position model. The record is from RNAcentral.